Molecule: ribosomal RNA, 207 nt
Filed under: uncultured Gardnerella sp.
Lineage: Bacteria; Bacillati; Actinomycetota; Actinomycetes; Bifidobacteriales; Bifidobacteriaceae
Description: partial 16S ribosomal RNA
Rfam family: Bacterial small subunit ribosomal RNA
Source: RNAcentral
CCUUGGAAACGGGUGGUAAUGCUGGAUGCUCCAACUUGACGCAUGUCUUGUUGGGAAAGUGUUUAGUGGCAUGGGAUGGGGUCGCGUCCUAUCAGCUUGUAGGCGGGGUAAUGGCCCACCUAGGCUUCGACGGGUAGCCGGCCUGAGAGGGCGGACGGCCACAUUGGGACUGAGAUACGGCCCAGACUCCUACGGGAGGCAGCAGCC